This 483-nucleotide ribosomal RNA is filed under the name uncultured bacterium. RNAcentral's name for it is "bacterial SSU rRNA". It matches the Rfam family "Bacterial small subunit ribosomal RNA", at positions 403 to 896 of the family's 1533-position model. The record is from RNAcentral.
GAGGGACGACGGCCUUCGGGUUGUAAACCUCUUUUAGUAGGGAAGAAGCGAAAGUGACGGUACCUGCAGAAAAAGCGCCGGCUAACUACGUGCCAGCAGCCGCGGUAAUACGUAGGGCGCGAGCGUUAUCCGGAAUUAUUGGGCGUAAAGAGCUCGUAGGCGGUUUGUCGCGUCUGCUGUGAAAACUGGAGGCUCAACCUCCAGCCUGCAGUGGGUACGGGCAGACUCGAGUGCGGUAGGGGAGAUUGGAAUUCCUGGUGUAGCGGUGGAAUGCGCAGAUAUCAGGAGGAACACCGAUGGCGAAGGCAGAUCUCUGGGCCGUAACUGACGCUGAGGAGCGAAAGCAUGGGGAGCGAACAGGAUUAGAUACCCUGGUAGUCCAUGCCGUAAACGUUGGGAACUAGAUGUAGGGACCAUUCCACGGUUUCUGUGUCGCAGCUAACGCAUUAAGUUCCCCGCCUGGGGAGUACGGCCGCAAGGCUA